GAUGAACGCUGACAGAAUGCUUAACACAUGCAAGUCAACUUGAACUUCGGUUUGGGUGGCGGACGGGUGAGUAACGCGUAAAGAACUUGCCUCACAGCUAGGGACAACAUUUGGAAACGAAUGCUAAUACCUGAUAUUAUGAUUAUAUGGCAUCGUAUAAUUAUGAAAGCUAUAUGCGCUGUGAGAGAGCUUUGCGUCCCAUUAGCUAGUUGGAGAGGUAACAGCUCACCAAGGCGAUGAUGGGUAGCCGGCCUGAGAGGGUGAUCGGCCACAAGGGGACUGAGACACGGCCCUUACUCCUACGGGAGGCAGCAGUGGGGAAUAUUGGACAAUGGACCGAGAGUCUGAUCCAGCAAUUCUGUGUGCAAGAUGAAGUUUUUCGGAAUGUAAAGUGCUUUCAGUUGGGAAGAAAAAAAUGACGGUACCAACAGAAGAAGUGACGGCUAAAUACGUG
RNAcentral lists this ribosomal RNA (454 nucleotides) under uncultured bacterium. RNAcentral describes it as "partial 16S ribosomal RNA". It matches the Rfam family "Bacterial small subunit ribosomal RNA", at positions 28 to 507 of the family's 1533-position model. The record is from RNAcentral.